CCAGGGGGCAUUCCAGAUGAUUCGGCUUCACUUUUGGGAGCCGUGGUGUCAGAUAAACAGCUUCAGUCCCACGAUGAUGACGUCACAAGAACAGACCUUUGUGAUCGCUCUGAAACCACAGAAGCCUCGGGCAGCGUGGAGCAGUGAUAUUGAAGCUCGGAUCCUUUCCUCUGCUCCGCUGCCUCUGGUCUGAGCUCAACAUCAAUACAGCUGAUGUCACCACGAGAACAGAGAAGAAGCCUUUAUGUAAAGCAGCUCAUUGAACUGCAGCAUUUUUCCACGAUUACAACUUGAGCAGCGUCCUUGCCACAAAGUCACGGCGAUGGUCUCGACAGUCGACACCCAAAACAAACCCAACGGGACCCAUCAGGAUGGUGAAUGAAGAUGGACGACGUGUCUAACCACAGCUCGGCUUGGUGAUUUUCACAAAGCCUUCCACUGCUCUGCUGGUGCUGUGUCAAAUUUUUGUUUCCCCAACAAUUUGUGACCUGAUGGUGAACCACAGCUAAGCCUCACUUAUGCAGACUCUGCAGCCUCGGCUUCUCCAGUUAGUGUUAACAGCAGUUUGACAGCAUCAGACCUGGUUCCAGCUCGACAGGGACAAUGAAAACAAAUGAAAUCAGCGAAGUCGCCCUCCGGAAGAUGAACAGAGGGAGACAUUCAAAGAAACCGUGAUCUUUAACGAACUACUUAGUAUUAAUGGACACAACCUCGCCACCGGGCAGCCACAAGAAGAAAAGCUCCUCCCUGUGGUAUUGUUUGUCUGUUGUCCAGCCUCCAGCCUGCCCUGUCCGCUGCUCUCUCAACAAUCACAUUGACCGAGGGAUCGAUAGAAUCCUCCAGAGAGAAAAGACCAGACUGAAG
Paralichthys olivaceus (Japanese flounder) is the source of this 864-nucleotide non-coding RNA. The record is from RefSeq and is a predicted model, not a curated record. NCBI's taxonomy places the organism in Eukaryota, Metazoa, Chordata, Actinopteri, Pleuronectiformes, Paralichthyidae.